ACCCCGCUGAUUUAAGCAUAUAAGUAAGUGGUGGAAAUUAAACCAAAAUGGGAUAUCUUUAGUAAUUGCGAAUGAACAAGGAUAUGCUUAGCUUGACAAAUGGAGCUAUUGGCUUUGAAUUGUAUUGUGGAAAUGUAUUACCAACAGAGGUGCAGGUGCCAGCCUAUUGAAAUAAAGCGUCAAUGAGGGUGAGAAUCCUGUUUGUCAUGUGCAGCCCUUUGUGCACGGUGUAUAUUUGCUGAGUCACACUCCUUGGCAUUGGAAUGCAAAGUGGGUGGUAAGUUUCAUGUAAAGGUAAACAUGCAAUUGAGACUGAUAGCACACAAGUACCAUGAGGGAAAUAUGAAAAGGACUUUGAAAAGAGAAUUAAAUGAGUUUGUAUUUGCUGAACACAAAGUAAACAGACUUGAUUUGCUUGGUGGGAGUGUUGCACUUGCUUGACAAGAGCUUUGGGCUGUGGGUGUAAUGAUUCUUUCUUUGCAUGCCAGUUUCUAUUUGUACAUCUGAUUACCUUUGCACAUGAAUGAUAAGUCUCCUGUGGGGGGUGGAUUGCAUGUGCAUGUAAUGAUUUGUGUUUUGAUAAAUGUGUCUGGUGUAUGUGUGUGUUCCUGUGCUUGGGGAUGCUUCCUUCCUUGGACUUACAAGCCCUGACACACACAUGCUGGCAAAAUGUGUUCUGCUUGACCCGUCUUGAAACACGGAGCAA
Molecule: ribosomal RNA, 706 nt
Filed under: Alexandrium tamarense
Lineage: Eukaryota; Dinophyceae; Gonyaulacales; Pyrocystaceae
Description: eukaryotic LSU rRNA
Rfam family: Eukaryotic large subunit ribosomal RNA
Source: RNAcentral